This 253-nucleotide ribosomal RNA is filed under the name uncultured bacterium. RNAcentral's name for it is "partial 16S ribosomal RNA". It matches the Rfam family "Bacterial small subunit ribosomal RNA", at positions 524 to 776 of the family's 1533-position model. The record is from RNAcentral.
UACGUAGGUGGCAAGCGUUGUCCGGAUUUACUGGGCGUAAAGAGCGCGCAGGCGGUCAGAUAAGUCGAAUGUGAAAGCCCCCGGCUCAACUGGGGAGGGUCAUUCGAUACUGUUCGACUCGAAGGCAGGAGAGGGAAGCGGAAUUCCCGGUGUAGUGGUGAAAUGCGUAGAUAUUGGGAAGAACACCAGUGGCGAAAGCGGACUUCUGGGUUGUUACUGACGCUGAGGUACGAAAGCGUGGGGAGCAAACGGG